RNAcentral lists this ribosomal RNA (404 nucleotides) under Actinomycetes bacterium. Its description in RNAcentral is "Actinobacteria bacterium partial 16S ribosomal RNA". It matches the Rfam family "Bacterial small subunit ribosomal RNA", at positions 355 to 776 of the family's 1533-position model. Lineage: Bacteria; Bacillati; Actinomycetota; Actinomycetes. The record is from RNAcentral.
UGGGGAAUAUGGGACAAUGGGCGCAAGCCUGAUCCAGCCAUGCCGCGUGAGUGAUGAAGGCCCUAGGGUUGUAAAGCUCUUUCACCGGUGAAGAUAAUGACGGUAAUCGGAGAAGAAGCCCCGGCUAACUUCGUGCCAGCAGCCGCGGGAAUACGAAGGGGGCUAGCGUUGUUCGGAUUUACUGGGCGUAAAGCGCACGUAGGCGGACUUUUAAGUCAGGGGUGAAAUCCCGGGGCUCAACCCCGGAACUGCCUUUGAUACUGGAAGUCUUGAGUACGGUAGAGGUGAGUGGAAUUCCGGGUGUAGAGGUGAAAUUCGUAGAUAUUCGGAGGAACACCAGUGGCGAAGGCGGCUCACUGGACCAUUACUGACGCUGAGGUGCGAAAGCGUGGGGAGCAAACAGG